GCGAUUAUGGCGGAAUUGGUAGACGCGCAGCGUUGAGGUCGCUGUGGAGAGAUCCGUGGAAGUUCGAGUCUUCUUAAUCGCACCA
RNAcentral lists this transfer RNA (85 nucleotides) under Alphaproteobacteria bacterium. RNAcentral describes it as "tRNA-Leu". It matches the Rfam family "tRNA". Rfam says of the family: Transfer RNA (tRNA) molecules are approximately 80 nucleotides in length. Their secondary structure includes four short double-helical elements and three loops (D, anti-codon, and T loops). Lineage: Bacteria; Pseudomonadati; Pseudomonadota; Alphaproteobacteria. The record is from RNAcentral.